Long non-coding RNA from Coturnix japonica (Japanese quail), 509 nucleotides. Lineage: Eukaryota; Metazoa; Chordata; Aves; Galliformes; Phasianidae. The record is from Ensembl.
CCUUUCAAUACCAAAUUAAUAGUGUGGAAGCUAUUAUCAGCACCUGAAACUAAACCCAAACAUUCUAGCCAGAUACAAAAUGAAGUUAGAAAAUAAGAAACAAUAAAGCCAAACCAAAUAAGUCAUGUUCUCAUUCAAAUUAAUGAUCACUUCAUCAUUGGCCUAUCAUUCCACAACAUAGGUGUGGAAUAUGUCCCAAAUUCUUCAUGCCCUUCAUUAGAAAAAGGAAAUCAGAGUUCUUGUUGCCAUUUUCCCACUGCUAAUCUCACUUCCUCAUUUUCCUCUCUCCUUCAACCUUUCUUCUCCAGGGACUUGCUGAACAAAGUAUCAAGUGUCAGUGCAGGGCUCCAGAAAGGAUGUGAUAAGAAUGUUACUUGCUUCUUAAUCUCAUAGGAUAAGGCUCAUUUGGGAUCAACUCCUUUCUGUGAAGUUUUUUCUCUGCUAUCUGGUGAGUCCUUUCUAUUAGAGUUAUUCCCAGUUAAACUUCAUUUAUGCCAUCAUAACUUUUC